GGUCAAGUGAAGAAGCGCAUACGGUGGAUGCCUUGGCAGUCAGAGGCGAUGAAAGACGUGGUAGCCUGCGAAAAGCUUCGGGGAGUCGGCAAACAGACUGUGAUCCGGAGAUGUCUGAAUGGGGGAACCCAGCCAUCAUAAGAUGGUUAUCUUGUACUGAAUACAUAGGUGCAAGAGGCGAACCAGGGGAACUGAAACAUCUAAGUACCCUGAGGAAAAGAAAUCAACCGAGAUUCCCUUAGUAGUGGCGAGCGAACGGGGACCAGCCCUUAAGUUGUAUUGAGAUUAGCGGAACGUUCUGGAAAGGACGGCCAUAGUGGGUGAUAGCCCUGUACGCGAAAAUCCCUUUGCAAUGAAAUCGAGUAGGACGGGGCACGAGAAACCUUGUCUGAAUAUGGGGGGACCAUCCUCCAAGGCUAAAUACUACUGACUGACCGAUAGUGAACCAGUACCGUGAGGGAAAGGCGAAAAGAACCGCGGAGAGCGGAGUGAAAUAGAUCCUGAAACCGUAUGCGUACAAGCAGUGGGAGCCCACUUUGUUGGGUGACUGCGUACCUUUUGUAUAAUGGGUCAGCGACUUAUUUUCAGUGGCGAGCUUAACCGAAUAGGGGAGGCGUAGCGAAAGCGAGUCUUAAUAGGGCGUCUAGUCGCUGGGAAUAGACCCGAAACCGGGCGAUCUAUCCAUGGGCAGGUUGAAGGUUGGGUAACACUAACUGGAGGACCGAACCGACUACCGUUGAAAAGUUAGCGGAUGACCUGUGGAUCGGAGUGAAAGGCUAAUCAAGCUCGGAGAUAGCUGGUUCUCCUCGAAAGCUAUUUAGGUAGCGCCUCAUGUAUCACUGUAGGGGGUAGAGCACUGUUUCGGCUAGGGGGUCAUCCCGACUUACCAAACCGAUGCAAACUCCGAAUACCUACAAGUGCCGAGCAUGGGAGACACACGGCGGGUGCUAACGUCCGUCGUGAAAAGGGAAACAACCCAGACCGUCAGCUAAGGUCCCAAAGUCAUGGUUAAGUGGGAAACGAUGUGGGAAGGCUUAGACAGCUAGGAGGUUGGCUUAGAAGCAGCCACCCUUUAAAGAAAGCGUAAUAGCUCACUAGUCGAGUCGGCCUGCGCGGAAGAUGUAACGGGGCUCAAACCAUGCACCGAAGCUACGGGUAUCAUCUUAGGAUGAUGCGGUAGAGGAGCGUUCUGUAAGCCUGUGAAGGUGAGUUGAGAAGCUUGCUGGAGGUAUCAGAAGUGCGAAUGCUGACAUGAGUAACGACAAUGGGUGUGAAAAACACCCACGCCGAAAGACCAAGGUUUCCUGCGCAACGUUAAUCGACGCAGGGUUAGUCGGUCCCUAAGGCGAGGCUGAAAAGCGUAGUCGAUGGAAAACAGGUUAAUAUUCCUGUACUUCUGGUUAUUGCGAUGGAGGGACGGAGAAGGCUAGGCCAGCCUGGCGUUGGUUGUCCAGGUUUAAGGUGGUAGGCUGAGAUCUUAGGUAAAUCCGGGAUCUUAAGGCCGAGAGCUGAUGACGAGUGUUCUUUUAGAACACGAAGUGGUUGAUGCCAUGCUUCCAAGAAAAGCUUCUAAGCUUCAGGUAACCAGGAACCGUACCCCAAACCGACACAGGUGGUUGGGUAGAGAAUACCAAGGCGCUUGAGAGAACUCGGGUGAAGGAACUAGGCAAAAUGGCACCGUAACUUCGGGAGAAGGUGCGCCGGUGGAGGUGAAGCAUUUACUGCGUAAGCCCCUGCCGGUCGAAGAUACCAGGCCGCUGCGACUGUUUAUUAAAAACACAGCACUCUGCAAACACGAAAGUGGACGUAUAGGGUGUGACGCCUGCCCGGUGCCGGAAGGUUAAUUGAUGGGGUUAGCGCAAGCGAAGCUCUUGAUCGAAGCCCCGGUAAACGGCGGCCGUAACUAUAACGGUCCUAAGGUAGCGAAAUUCCUUGUCGGGUAAGUUCCGACCUGCACGAAUGGCGUAACGAUGGCGGCGCUGUCUCCACCCGAGACUCAGUGAAAUUGAAAUCGCUGUGAAGAUGCAGUGUAUCCGCGGCUAGACGGAAAGACCCCGUGAACCUUUACUAUAGCUUUGCACUGGACUUUGAAUUUGCUUGUGUAGGAUAGGUGGGAGGCUUUGAAGCGUGGACGCCAGUCUGCGUGGAGCCAACCUUGAAAUACCACCCUGGCAACUUUGAGGUUCUAACUCAGGUCCGUUAUCCGGAUCGAGGACAGUGUAUGGUGGGUAGUUUGACUGGGGCGGUCUCCUCCUAAAGAGUAACGGAGGAGUACGAAGGUGCGCUCAGACCGGUCGGAAAUCGGUCGUAGAGUAUAAAGGCAAAAGCGCGCUUGACUGCGAGACAGACACGUCGAGCAGGUACGAAAGUAGGUCUUAGUGAUCCGGUGGUUCUGUAUGGAAGGGCCAUCGCUCAACGGAUAAAAGGUACUCCGGGGAUAACAGGCUGAUACCGCCCAAGAGUUCAUAUCGACGGCGGUGUUUGGCACCUCGAUGUCGGCUCAUCACAUCCUGGGGCUGAAGCCGGUCCCAAGGGUAUGGCUGUUCGCCAUUUAAAGUGGUACGCGAGCUGGGUUUAGAACGUCGUGAGACAGUUCGGUCCCUAUCUGCCGUGGACGUUUGAGAUUUGAGAGGGGCUGCUCCUAGUACGAGAGGACCGGAGUGGACGAACCUCUGGUGUUCCGGUUGUCACGCCAGUGGCAUUGCCGGGUAGCUAUGUUCGGAAAAGAUAACCGCUGAAAGCAUCUAAGCGGGAAACUUGCCUCAAGAUGAGAUCUCACUGGAACCUUGAGUUCCCUGAAGGGCCGUCGAAGACUACGACGUUGAUAGGUUGGGUGUGUAAGCGCUGUGAGGCGUUGAGCUAACCAAUACUAAUUGCCCGUGAGGCUUGACCAU
Molecule: ribosomal RNA, 2894 nt
Filed under: Pseudomonas syringae
Lineage: Bacteria; Pseudomonadati; Pseudomonadota; Gammaproteobacteria; Pseudomonadales; Pseudomonadaceae
Also listed under: 2 other names
Description: 23S ribosomal RNA
Rfam family: Bacterial large subunit ribosomal RNA
Source: RNAcentral